This 253-nucleotide ribosomal RNA is filed under the name uncultured bacterium. RNAcentral describes it as "partial 16S ribosomal RNA". It matches the Rfam family "Bacterial small subunit ribosomal RNA", at positions 524 to 776 of the family's 1533-position model. The record is from RNAcentral.
UACAGAGGUGGCAAGCGUUGUUCGGAAUUACUGGGCGUAAAGGGCUCGUAGGCGGCCAACUAAGUCCGACGUGAAAUCCCCAAGCUUAACUUGGGAACCGCGUCGGAUACUGGAUGGCUUGAAUUCGGGAGAGGGAUGCAGAAUUCCAGGUGUAGCGGUGAAAUGCGUAGAUAUCUGGAGGAAUACCGGUGGCGAAGGCGGCAUCCUGGACCGACAUUGACGCUGAGGAGCGAAAGCUAGGGGAGCAAACGGG